GUUAAUGAAGUUCUCCUUUAAAAAAAAAAACAUCUAUUUAAUGUCUCUGUCUCUUGUAGUUUUUCAUCAAACAAAUCAAAGAAGCAAUAGUAGUAAACAUCAGCCUGUGUAAUCCCAUUGAAAUCAAUGAUGACACAUAUAAAGGUCUCUAUUCAGUCCUGUUUUUUGUUGAUUUCAAGUGUUCAUAUUUCUUUUAGUCAGACAUGCUUUCUCUUAUAAAAAUAAUGCUUGGAGAUGUUCAGGAUCUAUCAUUGAGAAGUAUAAUCUCUCAGCCUUAAUAUAUGUAUUUAGAGUUUUGAUCGGAUAAUUAGUGAGUGUGUUUUCUUAAGAUCUAAUGUUUAAAUCACAUGAACUAAACUAUUGAUAUUCAUAUGAUUAUUAUUUGUUUUUAGAUUUGGGCAGACUACUCUUGAUUGCCGAUGAGAGCUUGUCAAAUUCUUUUAGAAGGCCUCAGAAACCGUUGUUGAUUUGCUCCAGAUGCCUUAGUUGAACGUUUUUAUUUGUUUAUUUGUCUUUACCUCCGAUUGUAUUUGUCAAACAGUAUGAAUCCUCUACCGUUUUCGGCGGCGGAAUGGGUACGAACCCAGGCGGCACUAACUGCAGGGAAUAGUCCGAUGAUGAUGACGGGUUCAUUCGAAGGCUAAACGACUUAAUAAGACCUUGAACCAGCAAUUAUCGUACCAUAAUCCACAACCUCAAGGUCAUUUAUUGCUCUUAUUUGGCACAACAUACUAAUUGUCUUUAAAGGUCGUAUAUCACAACCAUCCUCACAAACAAGAUCAGCCGUCGUCGUGAAAUUGUUCGAAGCUAGCAGCCAAAUGGUUGUGCAAGAAGGGUAUACAGAUCCACACAUUAUUUAUACCUGACCCACUUCAGACAAUAUGGCACACCUCAACAUCCCAAGGCAACCAGGCUUAGUACAGUUUGUUGUAAAACAUGACAUCGCAACCAAAGGUUGAUUGGAUGUACUAUUGAUGUUUGGGGCAUACAACACAGCAAGAGGCAUGGCAAUAUCAACGCUGCUUAUUAGGUUCUUCUUGGUGGAUUGAGGCAUGGCAAUAUCAUGGCUGGUUUACCUGUCUUUUGCAACAAUUAGUUGGUCAUGUGUAGAUGUGAUCACACGGGUCCGUUUGAGUUUGAAACCAAACAGCCGAUGAGUUUGGAUGUGUUCUUGACGUACGUUAGGCUGUGGUCUGCAUACCAAACAGCAAAAGACAAGGGCGUGGAGUUGUUGAGCGAUGGUGUGAUCGAGGAAUUCAGAAAGGCUUGGAAGGAAGACGCGAAUGUAGAAAAGAGCGUUACGUAUCCGGUUUAUCUACGGAUCAGGAAAGCUGGAGACGCGUUAAACAGGCCAUAUAAUUUGCAUGUUAAAUCUGUGAUAUGAACAAUGAUUAGUGAAGUAUCUCAUAGGUGGUAUGAUGUAUUUUCGUAAGGGGUGAUUGCCUUUUGUACUUGCCAUCUUCUGUUCAUAUAAUUAAUGAUGAAAUAAAACGGAAUUUGAGUCCAUAAA
Helianthus annuus (common sunflower) is the source of this 1510-nucleotide long non-coding RNA. RefSeq lists it as uncharacterized. NCBI's taxonomy places the organism in Eukaryota, Viridiplantae, Streptophyta, Magnoliopsida, Asterales, Asteraceae. The transcript has 5 exons. The record is from RefSeq and is a predicted model, not a curated record.